UAUGUAUUUUAUAUGUGCAUUGAGGAGAAUGCAGAAGUUGUGGCAAUUUUAUCCAAUAAAAAAAUUGUGUAGUUUUCCCAUGCAGCCAUAAAAAAAAAACACUAAAGACGUUCAUAUCUACAGAAUUUCUGUUAUGGUCAGCUCUCUCUCCGCGCUGUUUUUGGGUGUCUUUUCCCUGUGUGUCUGUGUUUGUUUGUGUUUUGUCUGUGUUUUUCCGUUUGGAGUGCUGGAGGUGUGGUCCAGAGGAAAGUAGGCCAAGGGGCGUGGCCGCUUCAACCCUGUACAGCCGAGCUUCACAGCUGCAGCUAAUCUUCAAGAUUCAACCCAGCAAUAUUUAAACCCGGGCUGAUCACCUCUUCAGCGCCAGUUCGUUAUCUACAACUUAUGUGUUACAGCUCUGACCUGCUGCUUCCUCCGCUGUACCUGCAUGCUUCCAGCCUCACCGUCCAGCCUCAGUCUCCACCUUGGGAAACCACCUGUGUACUUAUCUCUGCCUGUCCACCUCGUGUCCCGUAACCACCUGGACUCUUCCCCGUCGGCUCGCCUCAACCUCGGACCAGCCAGGAGUUUUCCCCGCCCUGACACAACCAACUGUGUUUCUCUGAGUACACUUUGUUUCAUUAAACCUUUUAAAACUGCU
Molecule: long non-coding RNA, 640 nt
Organism: Sander lucioperca (pikeperch)
Lineage: Eukaryota; Metazoa; Chordata; Actinopteri; Perciformes; Percidae
Exons: 2
Source: RefSeq, a predicted model, not a curated record